Molecule: ribosomal RNA, 274 nt
Filed under: uncultured bacterium
Lineage: Bacteria
Description: partial 16S ribosomal RNA
Rfam family: Bacterial small subunit ribosomal RNA
Source: RNAcentral
AUACAGAGGGUGCGAGCGUUAAUCGGAAUUACAGGGCGUAAAGCGCGCGUAGGCGGUCUAUUAAGUCAGAUGUGAAAUCCCAGGGCUCAACCUUGGAACUGCAUCUGAUACUGGUAGACUAGAGUUUUGGAGAGGGAAGUAGAAUUUCAGGUGUAGCGGUGAAAUGCAUAGAGAUCUGAAGGAAUACCAGUGGCGAAGGCGACUUCCUGGCCAAAAACUGACGCUGAGGUGCGAAAGCAUGGGGAGCAAACAGGAUUAGAUACCCCCGUAGUCC